AGAGUUUGAUCCUGGCUCAGGACGAACGCUGGCGGCGUGCCUAAUACAUGCAAGUAGAACGCUGAAGGAGGAGCUUGCUUCUCUGGAUGAGUUGCGAACGGGUGAGUAACGCGUAGGUAACCUGCCUGGUAGCGGGGGAUAACUAUUGGAAACGAUAGCUAAUACCGCAUAAGAGUGGAUGUUGCAUGACAUUUGCUUAAAAGGUGCACUUGCAUCACUACCAGAUGGACCUGCGUUGUAUUAGCUAGUUGGUGGGGUAACGGCUCACCAAGGCGACGAUACAUAGCCGACCUGAGAGGGUGAUCGGCCACACUGGGACUGAGACACGGCCCAGACUCCUACGGGAGGCAGCAGUAGGGAAUCUUCGGCAAUGGACGGAAGUCUGACCGAGCAACGCCGCGUGAGUGAAGAAGGUUUUCGGAUCGUAAAGCUCUGUUGUAAGAGAAGAACGAGUGUGAGAGUGGAAAGUUCACACUGUGACGGUAUCUUACCAGAAAGGGACGGCUAACUACGUGCCAGCAGCCGCGGUAAUACGUAGGUCCCGAGCGUUGUCCGGAUUUAUUGGGCGUAAAGCGAGCGCAGGCGGUUAGAUAAGUCUGAAGUUAAAGGCUGUGGCUUAACCAUAGUAGGCUUUGGAAACUGUUUAACUUGAGUGCAAGAGGGGAGAGUGGAAUUCCAUGUGUAGCGGUGAAAUGCGUAGAUAUAUGGAGGAACACCGGUGGCGAAAGCGGCUCUCUGGCUUGUAACUGACGCUGAGGCUCGAAAGCGUGGGGUGCAAACAGGAUUAGAUACCCUGGUAGUCCACGCUGUAAACGAUGAGUGCUAGGUGUUAGACCCUUUCCGGGGUUUAGUGCCGUAGCUAACGCAUUAAGCACUCCGCCUGGGGAGUACGACCGCAAGGUUGAAACUCAAAGGAAUUGACGGGGGCCCGCACAAGCGGUGGAGCAUGUGGUUUAAUUCGAAGCAACGCGAAGAACCUUACCAGGUCUUGACAUCCCUCUGACCGCUCUAGAGAUAGAGCUUUCCUUCGGGACAGAGGUGACAGGUGGUGCAUGGUUGUCGUCAGCUCGUGUCGUGAGAUGUUGGGUUAAGUCCCGCAACGAGCGCAACCCCUAUUGUUAGUUGCCAUCAUUUAGUUGGGCACUCUAGCGAGACUGCCGGUAAUAAACCGGAGGAAGGUGGGGAUGACGUCAAAUCAUCAUGCCCCUUAUGACCUGGGCUACACACGUGCUACAAUGGCUGGUACAACGAGUCGCAAGCCGGUGACGGCAAGCUAAUCUCUUAAAGCCAGUCUCAGUUCGGAUUGUAGGCUGCAACUCGCCUACAUGAAGUCGGAAUCGCUAGUAAUCGCGGAUCAGCACGCCGCGGUGAAUACGUUCCCGGGCCUUGUACACACCGCCCGUCACACCACGAGAGUUUGUAACACCCGAAGUCGGUGAGGUAACCGUAAGGAGCCAGCCGCCUAAGGUGGGAUAGAUGAUUGGGGUGAAGUCGUAACAAGGUAGCCGUAUCGGAAGGUGCGGCUGGGUCACCU
RNAcentral lists this ribosomal RNA (1534 nucleotides) under Streptococcus pneumoniae. RNAcentral's name for it is "bacterial SSU rRNA". It matches the Rfam family "Bacterial small subunit ribosomal RNA". The record is from RNAcentral. Lineage: Bacteria; Bacillati; Bacillota; Bacilli; Lactobacillales; Streptococcaceae.